Acipenser ruthenus (sterlet) is the source of this 792-nucleotide long non-coding RNA. RefSeq lists it as uncharacterized. The transcript is spliced from 3 exons. The record is from RefSeq and is a predicted model, not a curated record. NCBI's taxonomy places the organism in Eukaryota, Metazoa, Chordata, Actinopteri, Acipenseriformes, Acipenseridae.
UUGCAGCUGUAUUUUGUUUUACUAUAUUUUUGUAAAUAACUUUAGAAUUUAUUUUAUUUUAAAUGUAAUAUAAUAAAGGUCAAGGAUGAAAAACUUGCUAGAAUUUUGUGUUUUUGAGUGUGUGAGUUAAGUGUUACAUUAUUUUGCACCCUCUUGCGGCCUAGUGGCUAGUACAUCCAACGCUCACCGCCUGAACUGAAAGGUAACAUAGAUGACUACUGUGUUAUCUGCAACAGAACAGAUGAGCAAUCAGGCAGAGGCUUUGUCAACAUGGUACAGGGUGAUGUCUGCUACAGAUGGGCACGUUGAUUGCACAGACCACUCUGCUGAAGAACUAGAAAAUAGUGGAGUUACAUAUAUGUGCAAAAAAUGUACAAUAAAUGAAUAGAAAAUGUCUUUACAUGCGUGUGUGUCAAUGUCUUGACAUAAUCCAAAUACAUGAAGAUACAAACGGCUCGCAAAAAGUUAUCAUACAAAAUGGUCUCAAAAUGUGGUGGUAUUUCUAAAGUGAUUUAAGUGUAGUUGAUGGCUCCAGGUGGCUUCACUUAGCGAAAUCACCGUGCAGAAUGCAGAGCAGCUAACCUGCCUAUGCCGACAGAGCACCACCUCAGGUAUUUAGGUCUGCAGAAGCAGAGAGGUAAAUAGAGAAGGUGUCCUAGAGAGUAUUUGAAACCGAGUUAUUGUGAAUCAUGUAUGACCUGUUUUUGGAUGACUUGCUGGGUGAAACUGUGUAAUGUGUAUGAGAACCCAACUUGGAUAUGGAACUGUACAAUGAAAUGACUACAAAUCUGG